AGCUUUGAGCAGUGGCAGUAUCGUAGCCAAUGAGGUUUAGCCGAGGUGCGAUUAUUGCUAAUUGAAAAGAGACUAUUCCUUUCACUAGCAAAUUUACUCUUAUAUCCUACUUACUGCAGUUUGAGUUCCAACUAGUUGA
This is a small nuclear RNA of Macaca fascicularis (crab-eating macaque), 139 nucleotides long. Its record names the gene U4. It matches the Rfam family "U4 spliceosomal RNA". From Rfam's summary of the family: U4 small nuclear RNA (U4 snRNA) is a component of the major U2-dependent spliceosome. The structure of U4 snRNA from yeast and human has been reported. NCBI's taxonomy places the organism in Eukaryota, Metazoa, Chordata, Mammalia, Primates, Cercopithecidae. The record is from Ensembl.